This 107-nucleotide small RNA is filed under the name Marmota monax (woodchuck). The record is from RNAcentral. Lineage: Eukaryota; Metazoa; Chordata; Mammalia; Rodentia; Sciuridae.
GUCAGGAGUGGUGGUGUACACCUGUAAUCCCAACUACCUGUGAGACCGAGGCAGGAGGAUGGCAAGUUCAAGGUCAGCCUGGGGACCUUAUCAAGACCCUGUCUCAG